AUGGCCUUGAGUUCCCUCCCGCUCCUCGCCCUCCUGGCCCUGCUGGCCCUGCCAGGGCUCCGGGCGGCCGUGACCCUGCUGGAGUGCGGGGGGGACCUCCAGUCCCCCGGGGGGUCCCUGACUCUGCUCUGCCGCGGGUCUGGGUUCAAUUUUGGGAGCCACGACAUGUACUGGAUACGCCAGAGCCCCAGGAAGGCGCUAGAAUGGGUCGCAGGGAUCUACAACGAUGGCAGUUACACCGGUUACGCAUCGUCAGUCAAGGGCCGGUUCUCGAUCUUGAGGAACAACGGGCAGAGCUCGGUGACGCUGACCAUGAACAACCUCAAGGAAGAGGAUUCCGGCAUUUAUUUCUGUGCCAAGGAUGCUUCUGAUGGUUAUAGUAAUGCUUAUCGUGUUGACGGUUUCUGGCCCGUCCAUGUCACUCUUGACUUUCCCCCAAUUUUGCACAGUUCCCCCAAAUCUCCCCCGGCUCCCCCUCCCCUGACUGGCCGAGCUGACGCAGAGAUGACGCCGGCAGAAGCGGUUCGUGCAGAACGUAUCGCUGGUGUUGGUGAUGACGUUGGUGCUCGUUACGUUGAUGAUUUUCACCCGUAG
Catharus ustulatus (Swainson's thrush) is the source of this 594-nucleotide non-coding RNA. The record is from the annotation of a RefSeq genome assembly. Lineage: Eukaryota; Metazoa; Chordata; Aves; Passeriformes; Turdidae.